UACAGAGGUCCCAAGCGUUGUUCGGAUUCACUGGGCGUAAAGGGUGCGUAGGCGGUCAGGUAAGUCUGACGUGAAAUCUCGGAGCUUAACUCCGGAACGGCGUCGGAAACUAUUUGGCUAGAGGAUUGGAGAGGGGACUGGAAUUCUCGGUGUAGCAGUGAAAUGCGUAGAUAUCGAGAGGAACACCUGCGGCGAAGGCGAGUCCCUGGACAAUUCCUGACGCUGAGGCACGAAAGCUAGGGGAGCAAACAGG
This 253-nucleotide ribosomal RNA is filed under the name uncultured bacterium. Its description in RNAcentral is "partial 16S ribosomal RNA". It matches the Rfam family "Bacterial small subunit ribosomal RNA", at positions 524 to 776 of the family's 1533-position model. The record is from RNAcentral.